CAGCUAUUGACUCUAACUUUGCACCUAUUUCUAAGUCAAAUCCAAAAGAGGUGAUAACCAGAUCCUUGAGGGAAGGAGGUAACUUGCCUAAGAAUGUAAGAGAGCCACAGUCAUCAAUUUUCAAAUGCUGGAGAUUUGAUGAGUUAGGGUCACAGUCAAUAAUCUCCUCAUCCAUCAGCCUCUGCAAUUUCUGGCAACGGCUUAUCUGUAGCCAUUUCAGAGUUGGAGGUAGCUGGCGUCUUCCAAAGGAAAUCAGAGAAUCACAACUCUCAAUUUUCAACUCUUCAAGACACAAACUGCUAUAAAUCACUGCAUCUGGCAAAGAAAUAAGUCUUGCACAGCCUUCAAUCAAUAGCUCUCUCAGAGACUUAAAGCUAUGAAG
RNAcentral lists this unclassified non-coding RNA (382 nucleotides) under Hevea brasiliensis (rubber tree). Lineage: Eukaryota; Viridiplantae; Streptophyta; Magnoliopsida; Malpighiales; Euphorbiaceae. The record is from RNAcentral.